AAUUGUAUUAUUCAUUAUAACACAUAAAGAAACCUUUUGAAGAAACCAUAAUGUCACGUUGUCUUCAAAAACGAGAUAUCUGGAUUUCCGACUUGUCUACAUGAUUCAUACUCGAUAAUAAUCGAUACAUAAUCGAUCUCUGUACAUGGGACAUAUCGGAUGAGAACAGGUCUAGUCCCUGGAACAGAAGCAGGGAUGUAGCGAGGUAGCACCUGGGGCAGACUACACGAAGCAGGCAGUGUCCUGUAGCUGCGCGUCCUCGUUGAGAAGCUGACCGGGUCGUCUACGUCUCGUGGUCUGGAUACACGUGUAGCCCCGCCUCCUCCGUUUUGCAGUCUCCACUGUGGAGCCGGAAAUCACGUGAAAUCUACAUCUGGCCCGGAAAUAACGCUUCUAAAGAGGACUCGGUAGGCUGAACGCGUGGAUAGUGUGUUUAUCAGCAAACAGUGGAAGAAUUGUAUCUGUGAUCGUCGACAGAAAAAAUGGACAUGUCAAUUUGUGAUGCUGAUUCACAACUUGCACUGGAAAAAUGCAACACUUGUUGCAGAAAUCUUUUUCAUUGUCCUCUUUGCCCAACAUUCAAGCCAGCAAGGAAGGCUAAGAUUGAGAAACAUAUACAUUCCCAUAUGAAAAAUGCUAUUCGUUUCAAAGGUAUGAACAUACCAUUACCAGUACAGUAAUUUCCCCAGUCCUU
Molecule: non-coding RNA, 694 nt
Organism: Paramormyrops kingsleyae
Lineage: Eukaryota; Metazoa; Chordata; Actinopteri; Osteoglossiformes; Mormyridae
Source: RefSeq, a predicted model, not a curated record